Long non-coding RNA from Herpailurus yagouaroundi (jaguarundi), 633 nucleotides. RefSeq lists it as uncharacterized. Lineage: Eukaryota; Metazoa; Chordata; Mammalia; Carnivora; Felidae. The transcript has 2 exons. The record is from RefSeq and is a predicted model, not a curated record.
UCUGGAAGGGAAGGAGGACCCCGUCAACGACCCGGCCCGGCGGGCCGUCCGGAUGCGCCCGGGACGCGGGCAGGAGGCCGCUCCGUGCCCGCUCACUCGGCCCCAGGUGCUCCCCUGGCACCGUCCGCGGGGGGUUGAGCGGCACCCCGGCCCCAGCGCCCGCGAGCGUCUCCAGGCACCUCCCCGUGUCCCCCGGGGACGGUCACCCCUGGGUGAGAACGUCUGAUCUGGAGCGACGGGGGCCUCUGGGAGGACAGUGAAGUCCCCGACACGUUCUGUCUGCUGCGGCAGCCACUGGCCACGGGAGGCUCCGAGGCCUUUACCCGUGGCUCCUGUGGCCGAGGAGCCAAACCCAGGCCUUCUGUUUCGGUUCAAGUAAUUUAGAAAGCUGCACGCGGCCGGCAGUUCCUGCGCAGGACAGCUCAGUACCCGAGAUUUUCGUGUAUCUUACAACGAACAGACGUUUGUGACGUCACACGUGCCUCUAACACACGUCACUGGGACACCUCCCGCGUCGGAAGACUUUCCGGAAGAGUCCCCGCGCGCAGACCCUUCCCGCCUGGCGUUCUCGGUGGCGCCCAAGACCAGGAGACGCUGGUCGUCACCAGAACGAAUAGAGGAUGCGGGACUGGG